AUCCUUUUGUAGUUCAUAAGCAUGACAAUUGGCUUUUCACUUUGAUCUGUGAGAUGUGCCUAACUCAAACCUUGUUGGCUGGGCACGGUGGCUCAAGCCUGUAAUC
This is a small nucleolar RNA of Piliocolobus tephrosceles (Ugandan red Colobus), 106 nucleotides long. RefSeq annotates it as small nucleolar RNA U13. The transcript has a single exon. The record is from RefSeq and is a predicted model, not a curated record. NCBI's taxonomy places the organism in Eukaryota, Metazoa, Chordata, Mammalia, Primates, Cercopithecidae.